UACGGGGGGAGCAAGCGUUGUUCGGAUUUACUGGGCGUAAAGGGCGCGUAGGCGGUCAGCACAAGUCAGUUGUGAAAUCUCCGGGCUUAACUCGGAAAGGUCAACUGAUACUGUGCGACUAGAGUGCAGAAGGGGCAACUGGAAUUCUCGGUGUAGCGGUGGAAUGCGCAGAUAUCAGGAGGAACACCGAUGGCGAAGGCAGCUCGCUGGGACGGUACUGACGCUGAGGCGCGAAAGCGUGGGGAGCGAACAGG
RNAcentral lists this ribosomal RNA (254 nucleotides) under uncultured bacterium. RNAcentral's name for it is "partial 16S ribosomal RNA". It matches the Rfam family "Bacterial small subunit ribosomal RNA", at positions 524 to 776 of the family's 1533-position model. The record is from RNAcentral.